RNAcentral lists this ribosomal RNA (1372 nucleotides) under uncultured bacterium. RNAcentral describes it as "bacterial SSU rRNA". It matches the Rfam family "Bacterial small subunit ribosomal RNA", at positions 28 to 1381 of the family's 1533-position model. The record is from RNAcentral.
GAUGAACGCUGGCGGCGUGCCUAAUACAUGCAAGUCGAGCGAACGGACGAGAAGCUUGCUUCUCUGAUGUUAGCGGCGGACGGGUGAGUAACACGUGGAUAACCUACCUAUAAGACUGGGAUAACUUCGGGAAACCGGAGCUAAUACCGGAUAAUAUUUUGAACCGCAUGGUUCAAAAGUGAAAGACGGUCUUGCUGUCACUUAUAGAUGGAUCCGCGCUGCAUUAGCUAGUUGGUAAGGUAACGGCUUACCAAGGCAACGAUGCAUAGCCGACCUGAGAGGGUGAUCGGCCACACUGGAACUGAGACACGGUCCAGACUCCUACGGGAGGCAGCAGUAGGGAAUCUUCCGCAAUGGGCGAAAGCCUGACGGAGCAACGCCGCGUGAGUGAUGAAGGUCUUCGGAUCGUAAAACUCUGUUAUUAGGGAAGAACAUAUGUGUAAGUAACUGUGCACAUCUUGACGGUACCUAAUCAGAAAGCCACGGCUAACUACGUGCCAGCAGCCGCGGUAAUACGUAGGUGGCAAGCGUUAUCCGGAAUUAUUGGGCGUAAAGCGCGCGUAGGCGGUUUUUUAAGUCUGAUGUGAAAGCCCACGGCUCAACCGUGGAGGGUCAUUGGAAACUGGAAAACUUGAGUGCAGAAGAGGAAAGUGGAAUUCCAUGUGUAGCGGUGAAAUGCGCAGAGAUAUGGAGGAACACCAGUGGCGAAGGCGACUUUCUGGUCUGUAACUGACGCUGAUGUGCGAAAGCGUGGGGAUCAAACAGGAUUAGAUACCCUGGUAGUCCACGCCGUAAACGAUGAGUGCUAAGUGUUAGGGGGUUUCCGCCCCUUAGUGCUGCAGCUAACGCAUUAAGCACUCCGCCUGGGGAGUACGACCGCAAGGUUGAAACUCAAAGGAAUUGACGGGGACCCGCACAAGCGGUGGAGCAUGUGGUUUAAUUCGAAGCAACGCGAAGAACCUUACCAAAUCUUGACAUCCUUUGACAACUCUAGAGAUAGAGCUUUCCCCUUCGGGGGACAAAGUGACAGGUGGUGCAUGGUUGUCGUCAGCUCGUGUCGUGAGAUGUUGGGUUAAGUCCCGCAACGAGCGCAACCCUUAAGCUUAGUUGCCAUCAUUAAGUUGGGCACUCUAAGUUGACUGCCGGUGACAAACCGGAGGAAGGUGGGGAUGACGUCAAAUCAUCAUGCCCCUUAUGAUUUGGGCUACACACGUGCUACAAUGGACAAUACAAAGGGCAGCGAAACCGCGAGGUCAAGCAAAUCCCAUAAAGUUGUUCUCAGUUCGGAUUGUAGUCUGCAACUCGACUACAUGAAGCUGGAAUCGAUAGUAAUCGUAGAUCAGCAUGCUACGGUGAAUACGUUCCCGGGUCU